Molecule: ribosomal RNA, 404 nt
Filed under: uncultured bacterium
Lineage: Bacteria
Description: bacterial SSU rRNA
Rfam family: Bacterial small subunit ribosomal RNA
Source: RNAcentral
GAUGAACGCUGGCGGCGCGCCUAACACAUGCAAGUCGAACGGCACCCACCCUCGGGUGGAAGCGAGUGGCGAACGGCUGAGUAACACGUGGAGAACCCGCCCCCUCCUCCGGGAUAGCCUCGGGAAACCGUGGGUAAUACCGGAUGACCCCGCAGGGCCGCAUGGCCCCGCGGGCAAAGCCCAGACGGGAGGGGAUGGCUCCGCGGCCCAUCAGGUAGACGGCGGGGUGACGGCCCACCGUGCCGACGACGGGUAGCCGGGUUGAGAGACCGACCGGCCAGAUUGGGACUGAGACACGGCCCAGACUCCUACGGGAGGCAGCAGUGGGGAAUCUUGCGCAAUGGGGGGAACCCUGACGCAGCGACGCCGCGUGCGGGACGAAGGCCCUCGGGUCAUAAACCGCU